CAAGCCUUCUUCUAUGCGGUUUAGUUGUUCUAAGAAUAAGUUGUGAAGUUAACACUUUGUGUUCCAUUCACAGUGUCAACCAGAAAAUGCUAUUAUUAUGGAACAGCAAACUUCAACCUUGAAUCUACCAAUAACUCCCCACAAUCACUCAGAUCACUGGAUCACUGAGCUGAGACCACCAAGUAAUUUAUAAAGCAAAGAGAAGAAAUUUAAGCCAGCUGUAGAAAUUUGCGUUAAGUAACAAGGAGCUGAAUGUUAAUCACCAAAACAAUGGGAAAAAUGUCUCCAGGGCAUAUCAGAGAUCUUCAUGGCAGCCCCUCCCAUCACAAGACCUGAGGCCUAGGAAGAAAAAAUGGUUUCGUGGGCAGCCUCAGAACUUGGGGCCCUGAGUCCCAGCUGCUCCAGCUCCUGGCUAAAAGGGGUCAAGGUACAGCUUGGGCUGUUGCUUCAGAGGGUGCAAGCCCCAAACCUUGGUAGCUUCCACGUGGUAGCUGGGCCUGCAGGUGCACAGAAGUCAAGAAUUGAGGUUUGGGAACCUCUGUCUAGAUUUCAGAGGAUGUACGGAAAUGCCUGGAUGUCCAGGCCAAAGUCUGCUGCAGUGGAAGAGACCUCAUGGAGAACCUCUGCUAGGGCACUGCAGAAAGGAAACGUGGGAUUGGACACCGCCCACCCCCCAGAAUCCCCACUGGGGCACUGCCUAGUGGAGCUGUGAGAAGAGGGCCACCAUUCUCCAGACUCCAGAAUGGCAGGUCUACAAACAGCUUGCACUAUGAACCUGGAAAAGCCUCAGGCACUCAAUGCCAGCCCAGCAGAGCAGCCUCUGGGCCUGAACCCUGCAAAGCCACAGGGUCAGAACUGCUCAAGGCCUUGGGAGCCCACCCUUGGCAUCAGCGUGCCCUAGAUGUGAGACAUGGAGUCUAAGGAGAUUAAAAUAAGUUUUAAGACGUAAUGGCUGUCCCACUGGAUUUUGGACUUGCAUAGGGCCGGUAGCCCCUUUGUUUUGGCCAAUUUCUCCCAUUUGGAAUGGGAGCAUUUACCAAUGCCUAUUCCCCCAUAGCAUCUUUAGAAGUAACUAACUUGCUUUUGAUUUUACAGGCUCCUAGGCAAAAGGGACUUGCCUUGUCUCAGAUGAGACUUUGGACUUGGACUUUUGGGUUAAUACUGGAAUGAGUUAAGAUUUUGGAGGCCUGUUGGGAAGGCAUGAUUGUGUUUUGAACUGUGAGGACAUGAGAUUUGAAAGGGGCCAGGGAAUCUGGGCGUGGUGGCUCAUGCCUGUAAUCCCAGCACCUUGGGAAGAUGAGGUGGGUGGAUCAUGAGGUCAGGCGUUUGAGACCAGCCUGGCCAAUAGAGUGAAACCCCGUCUCUACUAAAAAAUGCAAAAAUUAGCCAGGCGCGGUGGCUCACGCCUGUAAUCCCAGCACUUUGGGAGGCGGAGGCCGGUGGAUAACCUGAGGUCAGGAGUUUGAGACCAGCCUGGCCAACAUGGCAAAACCCCAUCUCUACUAAAAAUACAAAAAUUAGCCAGGCCUGGUGGCAGGUGCCUGUAAUCCCAGCUACUUGGGACGUUGAGGCAGAAGAAUUGCUUGACCCUGGGAGGCGGAGGUCGCAGUGAGCCAAGAUCGCGCCACUGCACUCCAGCCUGAGCGACAGAGCAAGACCCCAUCUCAAAAAAAAAAAAAAAAAAAAAAUUAGCCAGGUUUGGUGGCACACAUUUGUAGUCUCAGCUACUCAGGAGUGUGAGGGAGGAGAAUCGCUUGAAGUGUUGGAG
This 1768-nucleotide long non-coding RNA is filed under the name Homo sapiens (human). RNAcentral's name for it is "HSALNT0381029". Lineage: Eukaryota; Metazoa; Chordata; Mammalia; Primates; Hominidae. The record is from RNAcentral.